CUAGCCUACGGGGCGCAGCAGUGGGGAAUAUUGGGCAAUGGGCGCAAGCCUGACCCAGCAACGCCGCGUGAAGGAAGAAGGCUUUCGGGUUGUAAACUUCUUUUGUCAGGGACGAAGCAAGUGACGGUACCUGACGAAUAAGCCACGGCUAACUACGUGCCAGCAGCCGCGGUAAUACGUAGGUGGCAAGCGUUAUCCGGAUUUACUGGGUGUAAAGGGAGCGUAGACGGAAAGGCAAGUCAGAAGUGAAAACCCAAGGCUCAACCAUGGGACUGCUUUUGAAACUGUCAAA
RNAcentral lists this ribosomal RNA (292 nucleotides) under uncultured bacterium. RNAcentral describes it as "partial 16S ribosomal RNA". It matches the Rfam family "Bacterial small subunit ribosomal RNA", at positions 333 to 640 of the family's 1533-position model. The record is from RNAcentral.